Molecule: long non-coding RNA, 226 nt
Filed under: Cicer arietinum (chickpea)
Lineage: Eukaryota; Viridiplantae; Streptophyta; Magnoliopsida; Fabales; Fabaceae
Description: long non-coding RNA (CARI_LNC003268)
Source: RNAcentral
AGCUGUUCCGUUGAAAGCUGGAGGUCUUGCUAAGGAUGCGCCUUCUCCCAGAAAAUCGUUUGAGGCCAUAGUGCUUUUAUGAGUGUUACCUCUCGAAAAGUUAGGCUCUGAGGCCAAUUGUUGGUAUUUAUGACCUCGCAAUAAUCGGAAUGUAUCAGUUUUUUAAGAAAUUAACUCAAUUUCAUACACACAGCGGAAUUUAAAUUGUGGCAUACAAGAUUAGCAA